RNAcentral lists this long non-coding RNA (282 nucleotides) under Amborella trichopoda. Its description in RNAcentral is "long non-coding RNA (ATRI_LNC001163)". The record is from RNAcentral. Lineage: Eukaryota; Viridiplantae; Streptophyta; Magnoliopsida; Amborellales; Amborellaceae.
UUCUGAUAAAUAAUCUUUUUUGAUAAAGUCUUUAUUUAUUUUUCUCUUUUUCCUUUCUAGCUUAGCUGCUAGAUAGGCUGCUAUAUACUCAUCUGAAUAUUGAUUAUUAUCAUAAGUAUCUUCUUCUAUUUGCAGAGUACAUACUUAAAAAUCUUGUAAUUCUUCUAUACUGGGUUCAGUAGUAUGUGUUGUAUGAGAUUUAGAUGUGUAUGUAGGAAUCACAACAUUAUCUGUGGUUCUUUGUGUUCCCUGAAAUUGAAUAUCUGAAUUUGAUGAAGAAGG